GACGAACGCUGGCGGCGUGCUUAACACAUGCAAGUCGAACGGAAAGGCCCUGCUUUUGUGGGGUGCUCGAGUGGCGAACGGGUGAGUAACACGUGAGUAACCUGCCCUUGACUUUGGGAUAACUUCAGGAAACUGGGGCUAAUACCGGAUAGGAUCUCCUGCUGCAUGGUGGGGGUUGGAAAGUUUCGGCGGUUGGGGAUGGACUCGCGGCUUAUCAGCUUGUUGGUGGGGUAGUUGCUUACCAAGGCUUUGACGGGUAGCCGGCCUGAGAGGGUGACCGGCGACAUUGGGACUGAGAUACGGCCCAGACGCCUACGGGAGGCAGCAGUGGGGAAUAUUGCACAAUGGGCGGAAGCCUGAUGCAGCAACGCCGCGUGCGGGAUGACGGCCUUCGGGUUGUAAACCGAUUUCGACUGUGACGAAGAGUGAGUGACGGUAAUGGGUAAAGAAGCACCGGCUAACUACGUG
Molecule: ribosomal RNA, 468 nt
Filed under: uncultured bacterium
Lineage: Bacteria
Description: partial 16S ribosomal RNA
Rfam family: Bacterial small subunit ribosomal RNA
Source: RNAcentral